RNAcentral lists this ribosomal RNA (450 nucleotides) under uncultured bacterium. RNAcentral's name for it is "bacterial SSU rRNA". It matches the Rfam family "Bacterial small subunit ribosomal RNA", at positions 29 to 526 of the family's 1533-position model. The record is from RNAcentral.
AACGAACGCUGGCGGCAGGCUUAACACAUGCAAGUCGAGCGCGUAGCAAUACGAGCGGCAGACGGGUGAGUAACGCGUGGGAAUCUACCCAUCUCUACGGAACAACUCCGGGAAACUGGAGCUAAUACCGUAUACGUCCUUCGGGAGAAAGAUUUAUCGGGGAUGGAUGAGCCCGCGUUGGAUUAGCUAGUUGGUGGGGUAAUGGCCUACCAAGGCAACGAUCCAUAGCUGGUCUGAGAGGAUGAUCAGCCACAUUGGGACUGAGACACGGCCCAAACUCCUACGGGAGGCAGCAGUGGGGAAUAUUGGACAAUGGGCGCAAGCCUGAUCCAGCCAUGCCGCGUGAGUGAUGAAGGCCCUAGGGUUGUAAAGCUCUUUCAGCUGGGAAGAUAAUGACGGUACCAGCAGAAGAAGCCCCGGCUAACUCCGUGCCAGCCGCCGCAGUAAAAC